CUCGUCAUUGUUUUUGCUAAUUUCCUAUUGUAGACCAAGCCUCUGAUUAUUUUUUCCAGACUUGAAGAAGAGCUCUGUGCAGCUUGAAAGCUUGUGUCUUCCAGAAGUUGCGUCAACAAAAGAUAUCUCACCUACGUUGUCUCCCUCAGAUAAUCGAUCAAGAACCUUGCUCACCAUCGAGGUUUAGCACCUUCACUUGUAUUCAGCAAGGCUUUAAGCAAGCCCUGGUCAUCGUCAACCAGGUGCGUCACUACCUUCACUUUCCUGAUGUGAACGUCAAAAGCUGUCAGAUUUUACCAGAUUCUUCUUUCACUGGUAACAAUCCUGAGUGAAGUCUUAAUAACAACCCUGUUCUACUCCUCCACAAGUCGUCAUUUCAGAACAUAAAAUUAUUGUG
Molecule: long non-coding RNA, 397 nt
Filed under: Chrysemys picta bellii (western painted turtle)
Lineage: Eukaryota; Metazoa; Chordata; Testudines; Emydidae
Description: lncRNA (ENSCPBG00000007023.1)
Source: RNAcentral